GUAAUAGUACGUGCCCAUCUCCUUUCACAUGGUUUUUGGGAGCCCCAAAGGAAAUCAGGACAGUAUAACUUACUGGAAUGGAGAGCUACUGGAAGGAAAUGCAUUUUUGCAUCUAGCUGCUGAGUCUGUAGCCAUUGUACAACCUCUACAUGAUGCUACAUGAUGGUAGACGAUACUUUACUCUGGAAAUCCACCGAUACU
Long non-coding RNA from Neogale vison (American mink), 201 nucleotides. RefSeq lists it as uncharacterized. Lineage: Eukaryota; Metazoa; Chordata; Mammalia; Carnivora; Mustelidae. The record is from RefSeq and is a predicted model, not a curated record. The transcript is spliced from 3 exons.